CAGCUAUGCCUGUUGUACUCUGUGAUGACUCUGGAUAACUUCACUGAUCGCAUCGGCCUUGUGUCGGCCACGGAUCUUUCAAAUGUCUGCCCUAUCAACUGUCGAUGGUAGGUGACCUGCCUACCAUGGUGAUAACGGGUAACGGGGAAUCAGGGUUCGAUUCCGGAAAGGGAGCCUGAAAAACGGCUACCACUUCUAAGGAAGGCAGCAGGCGCGAAAAUUACCCACUCCCGGCACGGGGAGGUAGUGACGAAAAAUACGAAUACGGGACUCAACUGAGGCUCCGUAAUUCGAAUGAGUACACUUUAAAUCCUUUAACGAGGACCAAUUGGAGGGCAAGUCUGGUGCCAGCAGCCGCGGUAACUCCCGCUCCAAAAGCGUAUAUUAAAGUUGCUGCAGUUAAAAAGCUCGUAAUUGGAUCUGGGUGGUGUGGCCACAUGCCGUUGCUCGUACUACUGCCUAGACUACGGUCAAGGUGGGAGUGCGGGUCGGUGUAGUGGCCGUGCAACU
Molecule: ribosomal RNA, 510 nt
Filed under: Brachylaima mesostomus
Lineage: Eukaryota; Metazoa; Platyhelminthes; Trematoda; Diplostomida; Brachylaimidae
Description: SSU rRNA
Rfam family: Eukaryotic small subunit ribosomal RNA
Source: RNAcentral